GACGAACGCUGGCGGCGUGCUUAACACAUGCAAGUCGAACGGAAAGGCCCUGCUUUUGUGGGGUGCUCGUGUGGCGAACGGGUGAGUGACACGUGAGUAACCUGCCCUUGACUUUGGGAUAACUUCAGGAAACUGGGGCUAAUACCGGAUAGGAGCUCCUGCUGCAUGGUGGGGGUUGGAAAGUUUCGGCGGUUGGGGAUGGACUCGCGGCUUAUCAGCUUGUUGGUGGGGUAGUGGCUUACCAAGGCUUUGACGGGUAGCUGGCCUGAGAGGGUGACCGGCCACAUUGGGACUGAGAUACGGCCCAGACUCCUACGGGAGGCAGCAGUGGGGAAUAUUGCACAAUGGGCGGAAGCCUGAUGCAGCAACGCCGCGUGCGGGAUGACGGCCUUCGGGUUGUAAACCGCUUUCGCCUGUGACGAAGCGUGAGUGACGGUAAUGGGUAAAGAAGCACCGGCUAACUACGUG
RNAcentral lists this ribosomal RNA (468 nucleotides) under uncultured bacterium. RNAcentral's name for it is "partial 16S ribosomal RNA". It matches the Rfam family "Bacterial small subunit ribosomal RNA", at positions 28 to 507 of the family's 1533-position model. The record is from RNAcentral.